Molecule: long non-coding RNA, 1578 nt
Organism: Polistes canadensis
Lineage: Eukaryota; Metazoa; Arthropoda; Insecta; Hymenoptera; Vespidae
Exons: 2
Source: RefSeq, a predicted model, not a curated record
AUCGUUCAGUAUGCACCGUACAGUUGCCGCGUUGGGAGUAUAUGAUCUUCCGUGCUGCGAAAAUCGGUUAUCUAUGAACACGAGAAUGCAUUGAGAUAAAUAAAAAUAAGAAUAAUAUAAUAAUUUAUCAUUGAAUGUGGUACAUAUUCUAUAUAAUAUUAAAACGAAUUGAUGCGAUUCGAGAUAAAUAAAAGCUAGUGUCGCAUCGAAAGAAAGCUUUUUUACUCGUAUUUUUCAUUCGAUAUCUUCUAUUUAAUUUUACUAUAUUUAGUGAAACGUAUGCAUAUGAUCGUCAUCUUCGUUAAAAGAAUAUUGAAGGAUACGACGUUAGCUUUUUGGUUGGACCCUUGAAGGGUCGCAAAGUGGUGCCGAUUAGGCGGUGACGUUUUAAAGAGCUGUCACGUAUUUUUUAAUUAUCGUUAUUAACUCUUCAGGGAUGACGAUUUUUGGUGACCAACGUAACGUUAGAUCGUAACGAUCGAAUCAGGGGGGGUGGCACAGUGGAAGGAAUAGCUCGCGAAGGAAAACAAAAGAUAAAGAGAAUACGAGAGAGAGGAAAGAGGAAAGAGGAAAGAUAAUUGUUAUGGACACCAACGCGACGAACGAGCUAAUUUGUAUCAUUCAAGGAGGCGGGAAGCUGUUGGUACAAGAAACGAACGACACGCGGCCUGGAAAAAUCGAUCGGCUUGAGUUUUCAACAAGUUGUAAAUUGAGAAACCGCCAUUUGUACGAUUCGUGAGAAGUUAUGCGGUGAAUAAGUGUCGCGAGUGAGUCUCGCGGUCGAGACGGGAUUCAAACGUGUUCUUUUCCUUUCAUUUCCAGUUAUUCUCGUUUUUUUCGUACAAUAACGAGGACACGAUAAGCUUUUGAUCGUGACUUUAGUAAAGAAGAAUUGAUCGAGUUAUCGAGUGAUUCAAGAAAAUAUUCUUGGAAGGUUGAUUCUUAAACAUUUCGUCGAGAGAUUCUCAAGUGAGUGAUCCGUGCUACUGUAGAACUACUGCUCUGCUUACAAGUCGACGAGUGAUUCGUGUGUGUACCAUAACAUCCUUACCAGCUAACUCAAUUGGAUUGGAUUGCUUAAUUGAUCAGGUUUCCGAAGGAAGAGGAGGUAAAGGAAAAAAAAAAAGAAGGGUGUUCGUGAGGAAGGAUGACAAUAAUGAGAAGGAAGAAGGAGUGAAGGACCACGAGGGUGAGAAAAGGGAGUAUAAGCCUAGCAUUAGUGAAGGAGUGUUGGAAGUGUUCGAGUCACAGGAAGUACUUUGAAGAAAGAGAAAGAGAAAGACAGGACAGAAAGACAGAAAAAAAGAAAGAGAGAUAUAGAAGACUGUUGAAGAGUUGCUUGACGAAAAGUAGUGGUGGUUAGUGGUGUUGGUGGUGGUGGUGGUGGUGGUGUUGGGAAAGGGAGAGUUAGUUAGGGGAAGGGAGAAAGAAAUUGGAGGGUGGUGAAGGUAAAGUGAGAAGAAGAGGUAGAGGAGGGGAAAGGGUUAAAAGGAACGCGAAUUCCUUCUUUUUGCUUGUACUUUAGGUGUAGAAAAAAAAAAGAUUAAAAAAAAAAAGAAAAGAAAAGCAAGAAAGUAA